RNAcentral lists this ribosomal RNA (445 nucleotides) under uncultured bacterium. RNAcentral describes it as "partial 16S ribosomal RNA". It matches the Rfam family "Bacterial small subunit ribosomal RNA", at positions 354 to 796 of the family's 1533-position model. The record is from RNAcentral.
GUGAGGAAUAUUGCGCAAUGGAGGCAACUCUGACGCAGCCAUGCCGCGUGCAGGAAGAAGGCGCUACGCGUUGUAAACUGCUUUUAACCGGGAAGAAACCCCAGGACGUGUCCUGGGUUGACGGUACCGGAGGAAUAAGCACCGGCUAACUUCGUGCCAGCAGCCGCGGUAAUACGAAGGGUGCAAGCGUUAUCCGGAUUCAUUGGGUUUAAAGGGUGCGUAGGCGGAGCGUUAAGUCAGUGGUGAAAUCCUGCAGCUUAACUGUAGACUUGCCAGUGAUACUGGCGCGCUUGAGUGCGCUUGAAGUGGGCGGAAUGUGCCGUGUAGCGGUGAAAUGCUUAGAUAUGGCACAGAACACCAAUUGCGAAGGCAGCUCACUAAGGCGAUACUGACGCUGAGGCACGAAAGCGUGGGGAUCGAACAGGAUUAGAAACCCGUGUAGUCC